This 1281-nucleotide long non-coding RNA is filed under the name Pan troglodytes (chimpanzee). RNAcentral describes it as "long non-coding RNA NONPTRT000076". The record is from RNAcentral. Lineage: Eukaryota; Metazoa; Chordata; Mammalia; Primates; Hominidae.
GUUAAGUUUUUGAUGGAACCUAAUCCCCAAGCAUUAGCUUUCUCAUUUCUUUAACUAAAUGGAAAGAUAAUGGCAAAAUGAGAAACUACUUGACUGAUGUGUAUUUCUUUAAUUCAACUUAGACUUAAACUGAAUUAACAUAAAUCAAAAGGAAACGAUCAAUAUACUUGGAAGUCUAUGAACUCCCUAGUUCCCUAGUUUGUCAUUUACUAAAAAAUUUUUAGUAAACAUUUUUGUUUCGUAGAACACAUAUCAGAUGAUUUUUUUAAACAAAAGGUGAAACAAAUAAAUCCAUUAAUAAUCUAUAAUUAGAACUAAAGUAAAAACCAAAAGUAAUGAUGUUUUAAAUUUCAUGCAAUUUUUAAAAUUGGAAAAAUGUAUAUAUUACCCAAAACAAGAGUACAGAGGUAACAUGAAACAAGCAAUUAUCCUCUUCUCCUUUUACAUUGUAGAGACAGAAAAAAAAAACUGUAUCCAUUACCACAUCUAAAAUGUGCAGUAAGGAUCCUUUAAUAUUCUUUUCAAAGCUGGGACUAUUGAGAGAACAAGACUCCAGACUCCUUCGAGCAGGAAUCCCAUUCUUACCUCUAACAUUGAAUUUAAGACUAGUAAAGGCUCUUUCAAGACUAACAUAAGGGGAAAAAAAAAAUCUUACCUGAGAGUUGAAAGGAUAUUUCCCUGGAGUCAAGGAGAGGAAGGGAUAAGAGUGGAUUUAAGAAUCCUAUGAAAAGCAAACAGCAGGAGGCCAGCUUAUACAUGAUCGCCACAAGAUAGACGGCUUCCUUCUUGGCUUCUGUUGUAGAGAACUUUCAACUGUCUCCUCAUUCUGCCUGCUCACUGAUUAUAUAUAUCAUCCUAUGACCUGACAUCAUCCUCUCCAAAAAAAAAAAAAAAAAAUGAAUUUAUUGGCUAUGGAGGCUAAAAGGCAAUCACUUUGCAUUGAUGUAAUUUUUCAAGGUAACAAGUCAUAGACAAUAAAUUAACUGUCUUGUUGCCUAGUGUACAAAGUAGGUAUUAUAUAAAGAACAAUGAGUUUAUAAAUCUGGCAAAAGAGGCAACUUACAGCAAUAAAUUGAGUCCGAGCAGAAGUGACGCAGAGCAUAAGAUGAAAUACGUUGGUUUCCAUUUUUUAAUCUUUCAUGAGUGAGUAGAUGAGUUGCCAUGCUGUGUUUAGGGCUGCCAUCCCUGAAGAAUAUAAAAUGUUUCUACUCUCAUGAACUUUCUGACUGGAGGCGAUAGACAACAACAUGAACAUACGCUGUAGGAAUUGUUUAUUGCUAU